RNAcentral lists this ribosomal RNA (624 nucleotides) under uncultured bacterium. Its description in RNAcentral is "bacterial SSU rRNA". It matches the Rfam family "Bacterial small subunit ribosomal RNA", at positions 232 to 885 of the family's 1533-position model. The record is from RNAcentral.
CGCGGCCUAUCAGCUUGUUGGUGAGGUAAUGGCUCACCAAGGCGAUGACGGGUAGCUGGACUGAGAGGUCGAUCAGCCACAAGGGCACUGAGACACGGGCCCUACAUCUACGGAUGGCAGCAACCGGGAAUCUUCCGCAAUGGACGAAAGUCUGACGGAGCGACGCCGCGUGGAGGAUGACAGCCUUCGGGUUGUAAACUCCUUUUAUUGUACCCUUCACAGUACAUUGAAUAAGCCUUUACUAACUACGUGCCAGAAGUCUCGGUAAUACGUAGGAGGCAAGCGUUAUCCGGAUUAACUGGGCGUAAAGCGUGCGUAGGCGGUUUUGUAAGUCGUCUUUUAAAUCCUGUGGCUCAACCACAGUUUUGGAGUCGAUACUGCAUUACUUGAGGAUCGUUCGGGGCAUCGGAACAGUUGGUGUAGCGGUGAAAUGCGUUGAUAUCAACUGGAACACCGAAGGCGAAGGCAGAUACCUGGGAUUUUCCUGACGCUGAGGUACGAAAGCUAGGGUAGCGAAAGGGAUUAGAGACCCCUGUAGUCCCAGCCGUAAACGAUGGAUGCUAGCUUCGGGUGUAUGCCUGAGGCGUAAGCUAACGCGUUAAGCACCCCGCCUGGGGAGUACGG